Molecule: ribosomal RNA, 468 nt
Filed under: uncultured bacterium
Lineage: Bacteria
Description: partial 16S ribosomal RNA
Rfam family: Bacterial small subunit ribosomal RNA
Source: RNAcentral
GACGACCGCUGGCGGCGUGCUUAACACAUGCAAGUCGAACGGCAAGGCCCUGCUUUUGUGGGGUGCUCGAGUGGCGCACGGGUGAGUAAAACGUGAGUAACCUGCCCUUGACUUUGGGAUAACUUCAGGAAACUGGGGCUAAUACCGGAUAGGAGCUCCUGCUGCAUGGUGGGGGUUGGAAAGUUUCGGCGGUUGGGGAUGGACUCGCGGCUUAUCAGCUUGUUGGUGGGGUAGUGGCUUACCAAGGCUUUGACGGGUAGCCGGCCUGAGAGGGUGACCGGCCACAUUGGGACUGAGAUACGGCCCAGACUCCUACGGGAGGCAGCAGUGGGGAAUAUUGCACAAUGGGCGGAAGCCUGAUGCAGCAACGCCGCGUGCGGGAUGACGGCCUUCGGGUUGUAAACCGCUUUCGCCUGUGACGAAGCGUGAGUGACGGUAAUGGGUAAAGAAGCACCGGCUAACUACGUG